This 406-nucleotide ribosomal RNA is filed under the name uncultured bacterium. Its description in RNAcentral is "partial 16S ribosomal RNA". It matches the Rfam family "Bacterial small subunit ribosomal RNA", at positions 30 to 526 of the family's 1533-position model. The record is from RNAcentral.
AUUGAACGCUGGCGGCAGGCCUAACACAUGCAAGUCGAACGCGUGGCGGACGUGUGAGUAAUGUCUGGGACACUGCCUGAUGGAGGGGGAUCUCUACGGGACACGGUCGAUAAUACCGCAUUCCCUCAUAUGUGCCUAUAUGGGAUUAGCUUGUUGGUGGGGGAACGGCUCACCAAGGCGACGCUCCCUAGCUGGUCUGAGAGGAUGACCAGCCACACUGGGACUGAGACACGGCCCAGACUCCUACGGGAGGCAGCAGUGGGGAAUAUUGCACAAUGGGCGCAAGCCUGAUGCAGCCAUGCCGCGUGUAUGAAGAAGGCCUUAGGGUUGUAAAGUACUUUCAGCGGGGAGGCGUUACCCGCAGAAGAAGCACCGGCUAACUCCGUGCCAGCAGCCGCGGUAAUUC